RNA transcript from Bombina bombina (fire-bellied toad), 5911 nucleotides. It is a transcript of the gene named CLOCK interacting pacemaker, with no coding region annotated. The record is from RefSeq and is a predicted model, not a curated record. NCBI's taxonomy places the organism in Eukaryota, Metazoa, Chordata, Amphibia, Anura, Bombinatoridae. The transcript is spliced from 2 exons.
AUGUCCAGGAUCCCUGGGUGUUGGAGAUCAUAUCUCAGGGAUAUCUUCUGGACUUCAAAGCUUCUCCUCCUCAAGGGAGAUUUCAUCUUUCAAGAUUUUUUCAGAAAACCAGAUAAAGAAAGAGGCAUUCCUACGCUGUGUACAAGACCUCCUAGUAAUGGGGGUGAUCCACCCAGUUCCGCGGACGGAACAAGGACAGGGAUUUUAUUCAAAUCUGUUUGUGGUUCCCAAGAAAGAGGGAACUUUCAGACCAAUCUUGGACCUAAAGAUCUUAAACAAAUUCCUAAGAGUUCCAUCAUUCAAAAUGGAAACUAUUCGGACCAUCCUACCCAUGAUCCAAGAGGGUCAGUACAUGACCACAGUGGACUUAAAGGAUGCCUACCUUCACAUACCAAUUCACAAAGAUCAUCAUCAGUUCCUAAGAUUUGCCUUUCUAGACAGGCAUUACCAAUUUGUAGCUCUUCCCUUCGGAUUGGCUACGGCCCCGAGAAUCUUUACAAAGGUUCUGGGCUCACUUCUGGCGGUUCUAAGACCGCAAGGCAUAGCGGUGGCUCCGUAUCUAGACGACAUCCUGAUACAGGCGUCAAGCUUUCAAAUUGCCAAGUCUCAUACAGGGAUAGUUCUGGCAUUUCUGAGGUCGCAUGGGUGGAAGGUGAACGUGGAAAAGAGUUCUCUAUCACCACUCACAAGGGUCUCCUUCCUAGGGACUCUGAUAGAUUCUGUAGAAAUGAAAAUUUACCUGACGGAGGCCAGGUUAUCAAAACUUUUAAAUGCUUGCCGUGUCCUUCAUUCCAUUCCACGCCCGUCAGUGGCUCAGUGCAUGGAAGUAAUCGGCUUAAUGGUAGCGGCAAUGGACAUAGUGCCAUUUGUGCGCCUGCAUCUCAGACCGCUGCAAUUGUGCAUGCUAGGUCAGUGGAAUGGGGAUUACUCAGAUUUGUCCCCUCUACUAAAUCUGGAUCAGGAGACCAGAGAUUCUCUUCUCUGGUGGCUAUCUCGGGUCCAUCUGUCCAAGGGUAUACCCUUUCGCAGGCCAGAUUGGACGAUUGUAACAACAGAUGCCAGCCUUCUAGGCUGGGGCGCAGUCUGGAACUCCCUGAAGGCUCAGGGAUCGUGGACUCAGGAGGAGAAACUCCUCCCAAUAAAUAUUCUGGAGUUAAGAGCAAUAUUCAGGGCUCUUCUAGCUUGGCCUCAGUUAGCAACACUGAGGUUCAUCAGAUUUCAGUCGGACAACAUCACGACUGUGGCUUACAUCAACCAUCAAGGGGGAACCAGGAGUUCCCUAGCGAUGUUAGAAGUCUCAAAGAUAAUUCGCUGGGCAGAGUCUCACUCUUGCCACUUGUCAGCGAUCCACAUCCCAGGCGUGGAGAACUGGGAGGCGGAUUUCCUAAGUCGUCAGACUUUUCAUCCGGGGGAGUGGGAACUCCAUCCGGAGGUGUUUGCUCAACUGGUCCAUCGUUGGGGCAAACCAGAACUGGAUCUCAUGGCGUCUCGCCAGAACGCCAAGCUUCCUCGUUACGGAUCCAAGUCCAGGGACCCGGGAGCGACGCUGAUAGAUGCUCUAGCAGCUCCUUGGUUCUUCAACAUGGCUUAUGUGUUUCCACCGUUUCCUCUGCUCCCUCGACUGAUUGCCAAGAUCAAACAGGAAAGAGCAUCAGUGAUUCUGAUAGCUGCAGACCUAGUGGACAUGUCGUCCUGUCCACCAUGGACUCUACCUCUGAGGCAAGACCUUCUAAUACAAGGUCCUUUCAAUCAUCCAAAUCUAAUUUCUCUGAGACUGACUGCAUGGAGAUUGAACGCUUGAUCCUAUCAAAGCGUGGCUUCUCCGAGUCAGUUAUUGAUACCUUAAUACAGGCACGAAAGCCUGUUACCAGGAAAAUCUACCAUAAGAUAUGGCGUAAAUACCUGUAUUGGUGCGAAUCCAAGAGUUACUCAUGGAGUAAGGUUAGGAUUCCUAGGAUAUUGUCUUUUCUCCAAGAGGGUUUGGAAAAAGGCUUAUCAGCUCGUUCUUUAAAGGGACAGAUUUCUGCUCUGUCUAUUCUUUUGCACAAGCGUCUGGCAGAAGUUCCAGACGUCCAGGCUUUUUGUCAGGCUUUGGCUAGGAUCAAGCCUGUGUUUAAAACUGUUGCUCCUCCGUGGAGCUUAAAAUUGGUUCUUAAAGUUCUUCAAGGAGUUCCGUUUGAACCCCUUCAUUCGAUUGAUAUUAAACUUUUAUCUUGGAAAGUUCUGUUUUUGAUGGCUAUUUCCUCGGCUCGAAGAGUCUCGGAGUUAUCCGCCUUACAUUGUGAUUCUCCUUAUCUGAUUUUCCAUUCAGACAAGGUAGUUCUGCGUACUAAACCUGGGUUUUUACCUACGGUAGUCUCUAACAGGAAUAUCAAUCAAGAGAUUGUUGUUCCAUCAUUAUGUCCUAAUCCUUCUUCAAAGAAGGAACGACUUUUGCAUAAUCUGGACGUAGUCCGUGCCCUGAAAUUCUAUUUACAGGCAACUAAAGAUUUUCGUCAAACUUCUUCCCUGUUUGUCGUUUACUCUGGACAGAGGAGAGGUCAAAAAGCUUCGGCAACCUCUCUCUCCUUUUGGCUUCGUAGCAUAAUACGUUUAGCCUAUGAGACUGCUGGACAGCAGCCCACUGAAAGAAUUACAGCUCAUUCCACUAGAUCUGUGGCUUCCACCUGGGCCUUUAAGAAUGAGGCCUCUGUUGAACAGAUUUGCAAGGCUGCGACUUGGUCUUCGCUUCACACCUUUUCAAAAUUUUACAAAUUUGACACUUUUGCUUCUUCGGAGGCUGUUUUUGGGAGAAAGGUUCUACAGGCAGUGGUUCCUUCCGUUUUAAGUUCCUGCCUUGUCCCUCCCAUCAUCCGUGUACUUUAGCUUUGGUAUUGGUAUCCCAUAAGUAAUGGAUGACCCGUGGACUGAAUACACUUAACAAGAGAAAACAUAAUUUAUGCUUACCUGAUAAAUUUAUUUCUCUUGUAGUGUAUCCAGUCCACGGCCCGCCCUGUCUUUUUUAAGGCAGAUCUAAAUUUUAAUUAAAACUCCAGUCACCACUGCACCCUAUGGUUUCUCCUUUCUCGUCUUGUUUCGGUCGAAUGACUGGAUAUGACAUGUGAGGGGAGGAGCUAUAUAGCAGCUCUGCUUUGGGUGAUCCUCUUGCAACUUCCUGUUGGGAAGGGAAUAUAUCCCAUAAGUAAUGGAUGACCCGUGGACUGAAUACACUACAAGAGAAAUAAAUUUAUCAGGUAAGCAUAAAUUAUGUUUUUUUUCAGACAGACAAUAUAACAACUGUAGCUUAUGUCAAUCAUCAGGGUGGAACUCAGUCCUCAAGCUAUGAAAGAAGUAUCUCGGAUACUUGUUUGGUCGGAAUACAGCUCCUGUCUAAUUUCUGCGGUUCAUAUCCCAGGUAUAGACAAUUGGGAAGCGGAUUACCUCAGUCGUCAGACUUUACAUCCAGGGGAGUGGUCUCUCCACCCAGAGGUGUUUUCUCAAGUUGUUCAGAUGUGGUGUCUUCCAGAAAUAGAUCUGAUGGCAUCUCAUCUAAACAAGAAACUUCCCAGGUACCUGUCCAGGUCCAGGUAUCCUCAGGCGGAAGCAGUGGAUGCGUUGACACUUCCUUGGUGUUAUCAUCCUGCUUAAAUUUUCCCGCCUCUAGUUCUUCUGCCAAGAGUGAUCUCCAAAAUGAUCAUGGAGCAAUUGUUUGUGCUGCUAGUGGCUCCAGCAUGGCCUCACAGGUUUUGGUAUGCGGAUCUUGUCCGGAUGUCCAGUUGCCAACCUUGGCCACUUCCAUUAAGGCCAGAUUUUCUAUCUCAAGGUCCAUUUUUCCAUCAGGAUAUCAAAUCAUUAAAUUUGAAGGUAUGGAAAUUGAACACUUAGUCAUAGAGGUUUUUCUGACUCCUUGAUUAAUACUAUGUUACAAGGUCGUAAAUCUGUUUCUAGAAAGAUUUAUUAUCGAGUUUGGAAGACUUACAUUUCAUGGUGUUCUCAUAAAUUUUCUUGGCAUUCUUUUACAAUUCCUAGAAUUUUACAGUUUCUUGGGAUGGUUUGGAUAAAGGUUUGUCUGCAAGUUCCUUGAAAGGACAAAUAUUGGCUCUUUCUGUUUUAUUCCACAGAAAAAAUUGCUAAGCUUCCUGAUAUUCAUUGUUUUGUACAGGCUUUGGUUCGUAUCAAGACUGUCAUUGAAUCAAUCUCUCCUCCUUGGAGUGUUAAUUUGGUUUACAAGCUUUACAAGCUCCUCCAUUUGAGCCUAUGCAUUUUUUGGACAUUGAACUACUUUCUUGGAAAGUGUUGUUCCUUUUGGCCAUCUCUUCUGCUAGAAGAGUUUCUGAAUUAUCUGCUCUCUCUUGUGAGUCUCCUUUUCUGAUUUUUCAUCAGGAUAAGGCAGUUUUGCAGACUUUAUUUAAACUCUUACCUAAGGUUGUGAAUUUUAACAACAUUAAUAGAGAAAUUGUUGUCACUUCUUUGUGUCCUAAUCCUAAGAAUUCUUUGGAGAGAUCUUUACAUUCUUUGGAUGUGGUGAGAGCUCUGAAAUAUUUGUUAGCUUUUCUGGUUCCUGGAAAGAUCUGAAGGUUUCUGCCAUUUCCUUGGCUUCGUGGUUAAAGCUUUUGAUUCAUCAAGCUUAUUUGGAGUCAGGUCAAGCCCCGCCAUUUACUAAAUUCUAUCAUUUUGAUGCAUUUGCUUCUUCGGAAGCAGUUUUUGGUAGAAAAGUUCUUCAGGCAGCUGUUUCAGUUUGAUUCUUCUGCUUCUAAUUUAAUUUUUUCUUUUCAAAUUAUGAGACUAAACUUAUGAUUUGGGUUGUGGAUUAAAUUUUUUCAGCGGAAAAUCGCUGUUUUGAUUUUUAUCCCUCCCUCUCUAGUGACUCUUGCAUGGAGUUCCACAUCUUGGGUAUUGCUAUCCCAUACGUCACUAGCUAAUGGACUCUUGCCAAUUACAUGAAAGAAAACAUAAUUUAUGUAAGAACUUACCUGAUAAAUUAAUUUCUUUCAUAUUGGCAAGAGUCCAUGAGGCCCACCCUUUUUAUGGUGGUUAUGAUUUUUUUGUAUAAAGCACAAUUAUUCCAAAUUCCUUUUGUAGAUGCUUUUUACUCCUUUCUUAUCACCCCACUACUUGGCUAUUUGUUAAACUGAAUUGUGGGUGUAGUGAGGGGUGUAUUUAUAGGCAUUUUGAGGUUUGGGAAACUUUGCCCCUCCUGGUAGGAUUGUAUAUCCCAUACGGCACUAGCUCAUGGACUCUUGCCAAUAUGAAAGAAAUGAAUUUAUCAGGUAAGUUCUUACAUAUAUUAUGUUUUUAAAUCCCUCCCUUUGUUAUUACUUGGACUCCACAGCUUGGGUAUUUGUUUCCAGUAGUAAUGGAUUGUGGACUCUCACCACCUGUAUCAAUAUUAUGUACUAAAAUAUUAACAAAAAAUAGACAUUUAUUUAUUUUACCAUUUUCAGCUAUCUCACAUUCCAUGAAACAUGAAUAUAAUGUAUAUUCUGAAUCUGCUGGGUCUGCUAAAAAAAAAAAUCAAUAUGUUAUGUGGGGCACUCACUAAAAUAUGUCUUACAAUAGUGUUAAAAUGUAAGCACAAAAAAAACAAAAAACUUAAACCUGCUUUGUAGGGGUUAUUUACUUUUGAGUGUUACUAAUCCUGCAUUCUUUAUUUCUGUGUGUCUGCAUAAAUCUCAGAUUGACUUUUUUUUUUAGUCACCAGUUAAUUCCUCACUUUCCAUGUCCCUGGAGCUGGUAGUGUUGGGGUUAAGAAAAUUCUGCACUAAAUACUGUGAACAAGUUUCUCAUCUCAGCACAUGCACCGUGUUCCUGGUGCCUUGUGCUUGGGAUAAAGGGAUUCCUGCCCUGAUCCUCAUAUUCAUUCCUGGACUGCACAUCCCUCCUUUCAGAUACUCCCUGCCUCUUCACAAAUACUACUCUUCCCCUCUGCUAC